UUAACUCAUUGUUAUAGAAACUACUACUUGUCAUUGGAAAACUGAUGGAAGCUGUUGUUGCAAAAGGUGGUGAUUCUGUUCAUUAUGGAAGAGGGUUCAAUUUGGUCCAAGGAGGAACUACUGAUGGGACCAAAUCAAAGAUCUGAGAAGAUCCUCUCUACUCUCCAAUCCAAGAAAAAUUCUUCUUAGAGGAAGGUAUCAAAACCUUUUCCCAAGCAAAUCUUUCAGAAUUUAACUGCGAAGAAUUAUUCCAGACUGAGCUACUCCCUGCAGAAAAAAGAGAUGAUGAACCACUUGAUGAUCGACUCCCUCUCUUUGU
Long non-coding RNA from Camellia sinensis, 319 nucleotides. RefSeq lists it as uncharacterized. The record is from RefSeq and is a predicted model, not a curated record. NCBI's taxonomy places the organism in Eukaryota, Viridiplantae, Streptophyta, Magnoliopsida, Ericales, Theaceae.